RNAcentral lists this ribosomal RNA (272 nucleotides) under uncultured bacterium. RNAcentral's name for it is "partial 16S ribosomal RNA". It matches the Rfam family "Bacterial small subunit ribosomal RNA", at positions 793 to 1055 of the family's 1533-position model. The record is from RNAcentral.
GUCCACGCCGUAAACGAUAAUCACUAGAUGUUGGUUCGGCUUAGCUGGAUCAGUGUCGUAGCUAACGCGUUAAGUGAUUCGCCUGGGGAGUAUGGUCGCAAGGCUAAAACUUAAAAGAAUUGACGGGGGUCCGCACAAGCGGUGGAACAUGUGGUUUAAUUCGACACUACGCGAGAAACCUUACCUGGGCUUGACAUGUACUUGACAGCUGUAGAAAUAUGGUCUUUUGAGCUUCGGUUCAAACGGGUACACAGGUGCUGCAUGGCUGUCGU